Molecule: unclassified non-coding RNA, 3390 nt
Filed under: Leishmania donovani
Lineage: Eukaryota; Euglenozoa; Kinetoplastea; Trypanosomatida; Trypanosomatidae
Description: gene:LdHU3.36.3600(CDS-product:nucleoporin_intera cting_component_(NUP93)_putative)
Source: RNAcentral
AUCGCCAUGUUUAUCUCGACUUCCAAUAUUGCCCCGCGGCGGCUUGGCAGUGCCGGCCCUGGCGGCGACGAUGCCUCAGCCUUGCGCGUCAUGCCCUCCGCAGGUGAUCCCGCAGACGAAGUGCGUGUCUCACUUGCCAGCCUUACGGCGCGGGCACAGAGGCUUGUAUCUGAAAGAGACGCUGAGCAGCUCCUGCGCAACGGGUUCGGCCUUUUCGAGGCCUCCCGCAAGGCCGCGGAGGAGGCGCGGCACCAGGCGAACAAGUGCCAGUCCACGAGCGAGGGCUACGCCCCGGCGACCCACGCGUCGGUGGAGUUGUUCAUGACUCAGCACCUCGGCUUCGACGCUCAAGCGCAGCAGCGUCUGCUGCGGCAGCUGCAGCGCCGCCACGCUCAGCUUGGUGUGGAUCUGGGCCCGAUCGACACCCUACCAGGCGCCGAGGCCUCGGGUUUCACGGGGAUCGCGGACGUGGACGCGGUGGUGGCAGAACUGAAGAAUGACAUCCUGCUCGACGUCCAACACGCCGUGCACCGACGUCAAACGAGCAUUGUGCGGGACCAGGUCGACACCCUGUUCAAGGCGGCCUGGCACCCCUUCUACGUGCGAGUCGCGGACGACUACGAGACGCUGUCCAUGGGGGCAAACGAGCUCGCCGCUGGCAAGGCAGGAGCCAGUGGUCGCCUGCGCUCCAUGGGCACCGCCGCCCCGUCCGCAAACGCAUUGGGCGGUGUCGGCAGCGACGCUAGCAGCUCCCUGGUGGACAUACUCAAUAGCGGCUCUUCGUUGGCCAUGGAGUUGAGCCGCCGCGUCGCCGCCUUUGCCGCCAUUGUUGAGGAGUACGCACCGGCGCAGUGGAUCACGCACUUCACCGCAUACGUCACGGAGACGUCGCUGGACGGGGCGAAUGACUUGACGGUGCUGUGGGCAUCAAUUGUGCAGAUUAUCGAGCCAAUGCAGCGGCGCGGCUCUGAGGCCGACAUCCUGUCCUACGUAGCCAGCAGCCGUCGCGUGAUGGAGCGCAAGUCGCUGAGCCGGCUGCUCGAGCGGGUGUUGCGCAUGGACCCCAUGCGCUUCGAGGAGGUGGAGAACAUGAGUGCGUCGCACCUGAUGGACGUAAUCGCGCGCUCGUGCGGCGUGACGAACCACUGGAUGCACACCUUCGUCGCGAUGCGGGUGGGUCGCUACGAUGUGGCGCAGCUGGCGAUGGAUGCUAUUGGAAUUCAGUCUGUGCGCGAUGCAAUGGCGAAGAUGGCCGCGACACCUCCUGCCGAGCGCAACGCUAUGCCACCCGCGUCCGAUCUCCAACCUGUCUACGCCGAAGCAAAAACAAAAGAAGACCCAUAUCGACAGGCCGUGCUUAUGGUGCUGCUCGCUGGCCGCACGGGUGAAAGCCCGGCAGCUGUCCUGCGCACUAUACUGAGCCUCGCACAAAGGGUGACGGACUCUCUGGAAGACGCGCUAUGGCUAAGACUGUCAUGCAUUCGCGGUGUGGACAAGUCGGCGCAAGUUACACCGGUUCAGAGUCUCCGCACGCUCCAACGUGCAGUUCUCGAUGACAUGCAGGAUCUGGUGAGCAUCACGCAGGGAAACGCGUGCCGUCUGGCAUCGUUUCUCAUCCACGCCUUGCUUCCCUCGACAGGUCUGCGGCUGCUGUUAGAGAACAACAUCACCCAUGUGGACGGCUUUCACAUGGCGUUGUGCUUCAGCGCGCAGAACCUCUUGCAGGGUAGGCUGCACUCUGCGCUCGAGGCUCCAAUCGACAUUGCUCGUCACAUGAGCCGCUACUGCUCCGUGGUGUUGCUGGGCGUCGAUCGCCGCCUUCCUGCCACCGUGUUUGCAGGGACAGCGAUCUUCGCCUACUUCCACAAAAGUGGUUUGACGGAGGCGUUUGUGGAGUGCUGCUUGAAGGAUGUCAUUUGCGCACGGCUGCUGGGCUCGCGCAACGCCGUGGGUGGGCAAGAUGCACUGCUCCUGCGGGCCGGUGCUGGCGCGCUUUCAGAGGAGCUGCUAAAGGCACUCAUGCAAGUCGCGGAGGCUGCCUCGGCUCGCAGCGAGGUGGCGAAGGCUACUCACGUUCUACUGGCGGUCGCCUUCCUCGCAAGCCAGCUCUGCCGGCCAGAGCUGCAGCAACGGGCUCUACGGCGCGCAGUGCAGAUGAUGUCGCCAGCUCUCGCUCAGGUGCUGCAUCUUCCAUCGCGCAGCAGCGUCGUGUCGGACGUUCUGUCGCAGGCGGCGCAGCUGCAGCAGGCUGUGAACGCUGUCCCCCAUCAUCUGAAUGAGGAAGCCAUCAACGCGCAGGACUACCAAACAUUCGCACUGCUGUGCCGCAUGGCGGAUGUGUAUGCUUUUAAUGUUAGCGGCAACUUCAGCGACGCCGUGGAUGCGUUCCUGCAGCUGCCGUUUGUGCCGCCGCCAAACACCGCUGUGACGGGCGGGGUAGACGCCUAUGUUGAGGCGUACUGCAACGCACCUGGAAGCGUGCAGCUAGGCGCAAGUGCCGCGCUACGGAUUGCCAUCUCAGCAGCAGGGAAGCUUCUCCAGUACUACGCACGCAGCAGCACCGGCGGUGGCGCUGACGUCGAUGAGAAGAGACUCCGCCUGCUGCACCGAAUGCAAACCGUGCUCGAGUGGGCUCGUCAGUGCUGCGCACUGACCAGUGUCGCAUACCCGGCUGUCGCAGAGGAAUUCGAACGGGUUUAUAUGUGCUAAGAAGGUGCGCGGGGGUAUUUGGUGCGCGCACAUCGCGUUUUCCCUCUCCCUGCUCUUGUCCCUUUUUCAUUGCGCUGUACCGCUUCUCACGCACGCCCCUUUGUACGGCAGUGUUUCUCUUUCCCUUUGUGUGUGCGUGUAUCUUUCCUGCACCAGUCGUUAUGAUCCGUCAUCUGCACGAGUAUGCGAUGGGACAAGGCUGGCGCGCGCCCUGUCUGUGUGAUGUGUGAUUCGCGUGUAUGUUGUAUCCGUCCCCCUCCCCCCUCCUCUCUGUGAGUGUAUGUUGUUUUGGACUCAUCGUGUACGGGGCAUCAGAGGAUCGCUGCCGGGGAGGUGCGGAAGUUGGGAUACCGAGCCGAAAAGGGGUUAAGACGAGUACUUAUAUAUAUAUAUAUAGAUGUGUAAGGUUGUUUUUGCACAUCUGCAUCAUUGUAUGAGGAAUGCAGAGGGCGGCGUUGACGCCCUUUCUACGCUUCGCCACGGUGCCUCUUGGCUAAUCCUGCAUGGGAGAGUGCAAUCAGGCCCGUUUCUAUGUGCGUGCAUGCGUAGAAGGGUGUCCGUGUGCACAGGUGUGUGUGUGUGUGUGUGUGUGUGUGUUUGCGUAAAGACUUUAGACAGAGACAUCCCCUCGUGUGAGGGCUGUCGUUCUAAGAUGCAAGUCAAACCAAAAGAAAGGAGAAC